This 368-nucleotide unclassified non-coding RNA is filed under the name uncultured Chytridiomycota. RNAcentral describes it as "sequence contains ITS1". The stretch from base 1 to 105 matches the Rfam family "5.8S ribosomal RNA", at positions 50 to 154 of the family's 154-position model. The record is from RNAcentral. Lineage: Eukaryota; Fungi; Chytridiomycota.
GAAAUGCGAUAAGUAGUGUGAAUUGCAGAAUUCAGUGAAUCAUCGAAUCUUUGAACGCACAUUGCGCUCCCUGGCAUUCCGGGGAGCAUGCCCGUUUCAGAAUCAUUACAAACAUCUCACCAUCUCUGGUGGUGGACGAUGGACAGCUUGAGCUUUUUGUUAAGCCCAAUUGUCUGAAAAUGAUUGUGCGCGCUCCGGCCAUUGUCGGUUAGCUCUAAAGGUGCAACAAGAAUAACUUCUAUUCACCUCUCUGGGUUAGCCAUUGCAGUGCAGGGGCUAGUGUACUCCCAAACCACAAGUCUAUGCAGCUGAGCUGUGUAGUCUGUUAACUUGGUCUGAAAUCGGGCAAGAAAACCCGCUGAACUUAA